GACGAACGCUGGCGGCGUGCUUAACACAUGCAAGUCGAACGAUGAAGCCUUAGCUUGCUUUGGUGGAUUAGUGGCGAACGGGUGAGUAACACGUGAGCAACGUGCCCAGGACUCUGGAAUAACCGCGGGAAACCGUGGCUAAUACCGGAUAGGUGCCGAGGCCGCAUGGUCUUCGGUUGGAAAGUUUUUGCGGUUCUGGAUCGGCUCACGGCCUAUCAGCUUGUUGGUGGGGUAAUGGCCUACCAAGGCGACGACGGGUAGCCGGCCUGAGAGGGUGACCGGCCACACUGGGACUGAGACACGGCCCAGACUCCUACGGGAGGCAGCAGUGGGGAAUAUUGCACAAUGGGCGCAAGCCUGAUGCAGCAACGCCGCGUGGGGGAUGACGGCCUUCGGGUUGUAAACCUCUUUUAGUAGGGAAGAAGCGCAAGUGACGGUACCUGCAGAAAAAGCACCGGCUAACUACGU
Molecule: ribosomal RNA, 468 nt
Filed under: uncultured bacterium
Lineage: Bacteria
Description: partial 16S ribosomal RNA
Rfam family: Bacterial small subunit ribosomal RNA
Source: RNAcentral